RNAcentral lists this ribosomal RNA (497 nucleotides) under uncultured bacterium. RNAcentral's name for it is "partial 16S ribosomal RNA". It matches the Rfam family "Bacterial small subunit ribosomal RNA", at positions 28 to 507 of the family's 1533-position model. The record is from RNAcentral.
GAUGAACGCUGGCGGCGUGCCUAAUACAUGCAAGUCGAGCGAACAGACGAGGAGUUUGCUCCUCUGACGUUAGCGGCGGACGGGUGAGUAACACGUGUAUAACCUACCUAUAAGACUGGGAUAACUUCGGGAAACCGGCGCUAAUACCGGAUAAUAUAUUGAACCGCAUGGUUCAAUAGGGAAAGACGGUUUUGCUGUCACUUAUAGAUGGAUCCGCGCCGCAUUAUCUAGUUGGUACGGUAACGGCUUACCAAGGCAACGAUGCGUAGCCGACCUCCGAGGGUGCUCGGUCACACUGGAGCUGAGACACGGCCCAGACUCCUGCGGUAGGCCGCAGUAGGGAAUCUUCCGCACUGGGCGAAAGGCUGACGGGGCCAGGCCGAGUGAGUGAUGAAGGUCUUGGGAUCGUGAACCCCUGUUAUUAGGGGCUAACAAAUGUGUAAGUAACCAUGCGCGUAUUGACGGUAGCCACUCAGCAAGACGCGGAUAACUACGUG